This 679-nucleotide ribosomal RNA is filed under the name Bacillus subtilis. RNAcentral's name for it is "bacterial SSU rRNA". It matches the Rfam family "Bacterial small subunit ribosomal RNA", at positions 558 to 1237 of the family's 1533-position model. Lineage: Bacteria; Bacillati; Bacillota; Bacilli; Caryophanales; Bacillaceae. The record is from RNAcentral.
GCGUAAAGGGCUCGCAGGCGGUUUCUUAAGUCUGAUGUGAAAGCCCCCGGCUCAACCGGGGAGGGUCAUUGGAAACUGGGGAACUUGAGUGCAGAAGAGGAGAGUGGAAUUCCACGUGUAGCGGUGAAAUGCGUAGAGAUGUGGAGGAACACCAGUGGCGAAGGCGACUCUCUGGUCUGUAACUGACGCUGAGGAGCGAAAGCGUGGGGAGCGAACAGGAUUAGAUACCCUGGUAGUCCACGCCGUAAACGAUGAGUGCUAAGUGUUAGGGGGUUUCCGCCCCUUAGUGCUGCAGCUAACGCAUUAAGCACUCCGCCUGGGGAGUACGGUCGCAAGACUGAAACUCAAAGGAAUUGACGGGGGCCCGCACAAGCGGUGGAGCAUGUGGUUUAAUUCGAAGCAACGCGAAGAACCUUACCAGGUCUUGACAUCCUCUGACAAUCCUAGAGAUAGGACGUCCCCUUCGGGGGCAGAGUGACAGGUGGUGCAUGGUUGUCGUCAGCUCGUGUCGUGAGAUGUUGGGUUAAGUCCCGCAACGAGCGCAACCCUUGAUCUUAGUUGCCAGCAUUCAGUUGGGCACUCUAAGGUGACUGCCGGUGACAAACCGGAGGAAGGUGGGGAUGACGUCAAAUCAUCAUGCCCCUUAUGACCUGGGCUACACACGUGCUACAAUGGACAG